RNAcentral lists this ribosomal RNA (261 nucleotides) under uncultured archaeon. RNAcentral describes it as "partial 16S ribosomal RNA". It matches the Rfam family "Archaeal small subunit ribosomal RNA", at positions 748 to 1008 of the family's 1478-position model. The record is from RNAcentral.
AGGGUGUAAACGCUGCAGACUUGGUGUUGGGAACCCUUCGGGGGUGCUCGGUGCCGGAGAGAAGUUGUUAAGUCUGCUACUUGGGGAGUACGUCCGCAAGGAUGAAACUUAAAGGAAUUGGCGGGGGAGCACCGCAACGGGAGGAGCGUGCGGUUUAAUUGGAUUCAACGCCGAAAAACUCACCAGCAGCGACUGUUACAUGAAAGUCAGGUUGAUGACCUUACUAGAUUUUCAGAGAGGUGGUGCAUGGCGUCAGUGACU